UNAGCGGAGGAAAAGNAACUACANGGAUUCCCCUAGUACUGCGAGUGAAGCGGGAAAAGCUCAAAUUUAAAAUCUGGCGGUCUCUGGCCGUCCGAGUUGUAAUUUAGAGAAGCGUCUUCCGCACCGGGCCGUGCACAAGUCUCCUGGAAUGGAGCGUCAUAGAGGGUGAGAAUCCCGUCUUUGGCACGGAUGCCUGUGCUUCUGUGAUGCGCUCUCAAAGAGUCGAGUUGUUUGGGAAUGCAGCUCAAAAUGGGUGGUGAACUCCAUCUAAAGCUAAAUAUUGGCGAGAGACCGAUAGCGAACAAGUACCGUGAGGGAAAGAUGAAAAGCACUUUGGAAAGAGAGUGAAACAGUACGUGAAAUUGUUGAAAGGGAAACGCUUGAAGUCAGUCGCGUCGACCGAGACUCAGCCUUGCCUUGGCUUGGUGUACUUCUCGGCCCGACGGGUCAGCAUCAAUUUUGCCCCUCGGAUAAUGGCAAGGGAAAGGUGGCACCUUUGCGGGUGUGUUAUAGUCUCCUGUCGCAUGCGAGGGGUGGGAUUGAGGAACUCAGCGCGCACCUUUGGUGUCGGGGCUUCGGCCCACGUCACGCGCUUAGGAUGCUGGCGUAAUGGCUUUAAACGACC
Molecule: ribosomal RNA, 625 nt
Filed under: uncultured Russulaceae
Lineage: Eukaryota; Fungi; Basidiomycota; Agaricomycetes; Russulales; Russulaceae
Description: LSU rRNA
Rfam family: Eukaryotic large subunit ribosomal RNA
Source: RNAcentral